This 2904-nucleotide ribosomal RNA is filed under the name Enterobacter kobei. Its description in RNAcentral is "23S ribosomal RNA". It matches the Rfam family "Bacterial large subunit ribosomal RNA". The record is from RNAcentral. Lineage: Bacteria; Pseudomonadati; Pseudomonadota; Gammaproteobacteria; Enterobacterales; Enterobacteriaceae. RNAcentral also lists the same sequence under 2 other names.
UUAAGCGACUAAGCGUACACGGUGGAUGCCCUGGCAGUCAGAGGCGAUGAAGGACGUGCUAAUCUGCGAAAAGCGCCGGCGAGGUGAUAUGAACCUUUGACCCGGCGAUGUCCGAAUGGGGAAACCCAGUGUGAUUCGUCACACUAUCGUUAACUGAAUACAUAGGUUAACGAGGCGAACCGGGGGAACUGAAACAUCUAAGUACCCCGAGGAAAAGAAAUCAACCGAGAUUCCCCCAGUAGCGGCGAGCGAACGGGGAGCAGCCCGGAGUCUGAAUCAGCUUGUGUGUUAGUGGAACGGUCUGGAAAGUCCGACGGUACAGGGUGAUAGUCCCGUACACGAAAAUGCACAGGUUGUGAACUCGAAGAGUAGGGCGGGACACGUGGUAUCCUGUCUGAAUAUGGGGGGACCAUCCUCCAAGGCUAAAUACUCCUGACUGACCGAUAGUGAACCAGUACCGUGAGGGAAAGGCGAAAAGAACCCCGGCGAGGGGAGUGAAAAAGAACCUGAAACCGUGUACGUACAAGCAGUGGGAGCCUACUUGUUAGGUGACUGCGUACCUUUUGUAUAAUGGGUCAGCGACUUAUAUUCUGUAGCAAGGUUAACCGUAUAGGGGAGCCGAAGGGAAACCGAGUCUUAACUGGGCGUUAAGUUGCAGGGUAUAGACCCGAAACCCGGUGAUCUAGCCAUGGGCAGGUUGAAGGUUGGGUAACACUAACUGGAGGACCGAACCGACUAAUGUUGAAAAAUUAGCGGAUGACCUGUGGCUGGGGGUGAAAGGCCAAUCAAACCGGGAGAUAGCUGGUUCUCCCCGAAAGCUAUUUAGGUAGCGCCUCGUGAACUCAUCUUCGGGGGUAGAGCACUGUUUCGGCUAGGGGGCCAUCCCGGCUUACCAACCCGAUGCAAACUACGAAUACCGAAGAAUGUUAUCACGGGAGACACACGGCGGGUGCUAACGUCCGUCGUGAAGAGGGAAACAACCCAGACCGCCAGCUAAGGUCCCAAAGUCAUGGUUAAGUGGGAAACGAUGUGGGAAGGCACAGACAGCCAGGAUGUUGGCUUAGAAGCAGCCAUCAUUUAAAGAAAGCGUAAUAGCUCACUGGUCGAGUCGGCCUGCGCGGAAGAUGUAACGGGGCUAAACCAUGCACCGAAGCUGCGGCAGCGACGCUUAUGCGUUGUUGGGUAGGGGAGCGUUCUGUAAGCCGUUGAAGGUGGCCUGUGAGGGUUGCUGGAGGUAUCAGAAGUGCGAAUGCUGACAUAAGUAACGAUAAAGCGGGUGAAAAGCCCGCUCGCCGGAAGACCAAGGGUUCCUGUCCAACGUUAAUCGGGGCAGGGUGAGUCGACCCCUAAGGCGAGGCCGAAAGGCGUAGUCGAUGGGAAACAGGUUAAUAUUCCUGUACUUGGUGUUACUGCGAAGGGGGGACGGAGAAGGCUAUGUUAGCCGGGCGACGGUUGUCCCGGUUUAAGCAUGUAGGCGGAGGUUCCAGGUAAAUCCGGUACCUUUUUAACGCUGAGGUGUGAUGACGAGGCACUACGGUGCUGAAGUAACAAAUGCCCUGCUUCCAGGAAAAGCCUCUAAGCAUCAGGUAACACGAAAUCGUACCCCAAACCGACACAGGUGGUCAGGUAGAGAAUACCAAGGCGCUUGAGAGAACUCGGGUGAAGGAACUAGGCAAAAUGGUGCCGUAACUUCGGGAGAAGGCACGCUGAUAUGUAGGUGAAGCCCCUGCGGGUGGAGCUGAAAUCAGUCGAAGAUACCAGCUGGCUGCAACUGUUUAUUAAAAACACAGCACUGUGCAAACACGAAAGUGGACGUAUACGGUGUGACGCCUGCCCGGUGCCGGAAGGUUAAUUGAUGGGGUUAGCGGCAACGCGAAGCUCUUGAUCGAAGCCCCGGUAAACGGCGGCCGUAACUAUAACGGUCCUAAGGUAGCGAAAUUCCUUGUCGGGUAAGUUCCGACCUGCACGAAUGGCGUAAUGAUGGCCAGGCUGUCUCCACCCGAGACUCAGUGAAAUUGAACUCGCUGUGAAGAUGCAGUGUACCCGCGGCAAGACGGAAAGACCCCGUGAACCUUUACUAUAGCUUGACACUGAACACUGGUCCUUGAUGUGUAGGAUAGGUGGGAGGCUUUGAAGCGUGGACGCCAGUCUGCGUGGAGCCGACCUUGAAAUACCACCCUUUAAUGGCUGGUGUUCUAACGUAGACCCGUAAUCCGGGUUGCGGACAGUGUCUGGUGGGUAGUUUGACUGGGGCGGUCUCCUCCCAAAGAGUAACGGAGGAGCACGAAGGUUAGCUAAUCCUGGUCGGACAUCAGGAGGUUAGUGCAAUGGCAUAAGCUAGCUUGACUGCGAGAGUGACGGCUCGAGCAGGUGCGAAAGCAGGUCAUAGUGAUCCGGUGGUUCUGAAUGGAAGGGCCAUCGCUCAACGGAUAAAAGGUACUCCGGGGAUAACAGGCUGAUACCGCCCAAGAGUUCAUAUCGACGGCGGUGUUUGGCACCUCGAUGUCGGCUCAUCACAUCCUGGGGCUGAAGUAGGUCCCAAGGGUAUGGCUGUUCGCCAUUUAAAGUGGUACGCGAGCUGGGUUUAGAACGUCGUGAGACAGUUCGGUCCCUAUCUGCCGUGGGCGCUGGAGAAUUGAGGGGGGCUGCUCCUAGUACGAGAGGACCGGAGUGGACGCAUCACUGGUGUUCGGGUUGUCAUGCCAAUGGCACUGCCCGGUAGCUAAAUGCGGAAGAGAUAAGUGCUGAAAGCAUCUAAGCACGAAACUUGCCCCGAGAUGAGUUCUCCCUGAGACUAUAAGUCUCCUGAAGGAACGUUGAAGACGACGACGUUGAUAGGUCGGGUGUGUAAGCGCAGCGAUGCGUUGAGCUAACCGAUACUAAUGAACCGUGAGGCUUAACCUU